RNAcentral lists this ribosomal RNA (429 nucleotides) under Bacteroidota bacterium. RNAcentral's name for it is "Bacteroidetes bacterium partial 16S ribosomal RNA". It matches the Rfam family "Bacterial small subunit ribosomal RNA", at positions 355 to 776 of the family's 1533-position model. Lineage: Bacteria; Pseudomonadati; Bacteroidota. The record is from RNAcentral.
UAGGGAAUCUUCCGCAAUGGACGCAAGUCUGACGGAGCAACGCCGCGUGAGUGAAGAAGGAUUUCGGUUCGUAAAACUCUGUUGUUAGAGAAGAACAGCGCAUAGAGUAACUGUUAUGCGUGUGACGGUAUCUAACCAGAAAGCCACGGCUAACUACGUGCCAGCAGCCGCGGUAAUACGUAGGUGGCAAGCGUUGUCCGGAUUUAUUGGGCGUAAAGCGAGCGCAGGCGGUCAAUUAAGUCUGAUGUGAAAGCCCCCGGCUCAACCGGGGAGGGUCAUUGGAAACUGGUUAACUUGAGUGCAGAAGAGGAGAGUGGAAUUCCAUGUGUAGCGGUGAAAUGCGUAGAUAUAUGGAGGAACACCAGUGGCGAAGGCGACUCUCUGGUCUGUAACUGACGCUGAGGUUCGAAAGCGUGGGUAGCAAACAGG